UCGCCUGUUUAUCAAAAACAUUUCCUAAAGAAAGAAAUUUUAGGUAGGUCCUGCUCAAUGAAAUUGAUUAAAUAGCCGCAAGUAGUUGCGCUAAGGUAGCAUAAUAACUUGCUCUUUAAUUGAGAGAUAGAAUGAAAGGUUUAACGAGGAGAAAACUUUUUUAAAAUAAAAACAAUUGAAAUUAACCUUUGAGUCAAAAGGCUUAAAUGAAUUUGAUGGACGAGAAGACCCUAUAGAACUUUAUUAAAUUUAAAUUUACGAUGAUUUUUAAAAACAACUAGUAAAAAGAAAUUAUAAUUUAACUGGGACAGUUAAACUAAACAUUAAAUUAGUUUUUAAAAAAACACUUUUAAGUGAAUAAUUUGAACCAAUUUUGAAUAUUAGAAUAAGUUACCUUAGGGAUAACAGCGUUAUCCUUUCAAAGAGUACAAAUCGAUGAAAGACAUUGCGACCUCGAUGUUGGAUUAAGGUUAAAAAAAGGAGUAGAAGCUUUAACAAGUCAUUUGUUCAACGAUUAAAGUCCUACGUGAUCUGAGCUCAAACCGGA
This 547-nucleotide ribosomal RNA is filed under the name Mycterothrips glycines. RNAcentral describes it as "partial 16S ribosomal RNA". It matches the Rfam family "Bacterial large subunit ribosomal RNA", at positions 1796 to 2620 of the family's 2925-position model. The record is from RNAcentral. Lineage: Eukaryota; Metazoa; Arthropoda; Insecta; Thysanoptera; Thripidae.